This 492-nucleotide ribosomal RNA is filed under the name uncultured bacterium. RNAcentral's name for it is "partial 16S ribosomal RNA". It matches the Rfam family "Bacterial small subunit ribosomal RNA", at positions 29 to 507 of the family's 1533-position model. The record is from RNAcentral.
AGUGAACGCUGGCGGUAGGCCUAACACAUGCAAGUCGAACGGCAGCACAGUAAGAGCUUGCUCUUACGGGUGGCGAGUGGCGGACGGGUGAGGAAUGCAUCGGAAUCUACUUUUUCGUGGGGGAUAACGUAGGGAAACUUACGCUAAUACCGCAUACGACCUACGGGUGAAAGCAGGGGAUCUUCGGACCUUGCGCGAUUGAAUGAGCCGAUGUCGGAUUAGCUAGUUGGCGGGGUAAAGGCCCACCAAGGCGACGAUCCGUAGCUGGUCUGAGAGGAUGAUCAGCCACACUGGAACUGAGACACGGUCCAGACUCCUACGGGAGGCAGCAGUGGGGAAUAUUGGACAAUGGGCGCAAGCCUGAUCCAGCCAUACCGCGUGGGUGAAGAAGGCCUUCGGGUUGUAAAGCCCUUUUGUUGGGAAAGAAAGGCAGCAGGUUAAUACCCCGCUGUUCUGACGGUACCCAAAGAAUAAGCACCGGCUAACUUCGUG